GGAGUAUGGACCGUGUCUCAGUUCCAUUGUGGCCGAUCAGUCUCUCAACUCGGCUACGCAUCACAGCCUUGGUAGGCCGUUACCCUACCAACAAGCUAAUGCGCCGCAGGUCCAUCCCAAAGUGAUAGCCGAAGCCAUCUUUUAAAUUUGAAUCAUGCGAUUCAAAUUGUUAUGCGGUAUUAGCAUCUGUUUCCAAAUGUUAUCCCCCGCUUUGGGGCAGGUUACCUACGUGUUACUCACCCGUCCGCCACUCGUUGGUAAACCAACGUCAAGUCCGUGCAAGCACGUUCAAUCAGUUGGGCCAACGCGUUCGACUUGCAUGUAUUAGGCACACCGCCGGCGUUCAUCCUGAGCCAUGAUCAAACUACU
This 369-nucleotide ribosomal RNA is filed under the name Limosilactobacillus mucosae. Its description in RNAcentral is "Lactobacillus mucosae partial 16S ribosomal RNA". Lineage: Bacteria; Bacillati; Bacillota; Bacilli; Lactobacillales; Lactobacillaceae. The record is from RNAcentral.